AACUUUCGGCAACGGAUCACUUGGCUCUGGCAUCGAUGAAGAACGCAGCAAAAUGCGAUACGUAAUGUGAAUUGCAGAAUUCCGUGAAUCAUCGAAUCUUUGAACGCACAUUGCACCUAGGGGUAUUCCUCUAGGUAUGCCUGUUUGAGCGUCAUUUCAACCCUCAAGCUUUAUUUUGCUUGGUGUUGGUAUUUUCUGCUUCCGUAGAAUUACCUAAAUUUAUCGGCGGGAUAGUUGCUUAAACCUAGCGUAGUAAUAUAUGCCUCGUUUGGUAAAAGUAAUUUGUGUUCGCCGUUAUACAAAACAACUUAAAGGUUGACCUCAAAUCAGGUAAGAUUACCCGCUGAACUUAAGCAUAUCAAUAAGCGGAGGAU
Molecule: unclassified non-coding RNA, 374 nt
Filed under: uncultured Ascomycota
Lineage: Eukaryota; Fungi; Ascomycota
Description: sequence contains ITS2
Rfam family: 5.8S ribosomal RNA (bases 1-154)
Source: RNAcentral